CCUACGGGAGGCAGCAGUGAGGAAUAUUGGUCAAUGGACGCAAGUCUGAACCAGCCAUGCCGCGUGCAUGAAGACGGCUCUAUUAGUUGUAAACUGCUUUUGUACGAGGGUAAACGCAGAUACGCGUAUCUGUCUGCAAGUCUCAUACGACUACGGCUCGGCUAACUCCGUGCCAGCAGCAGCGGUAAUACGGAGUUUUCCAGUGUUAUCCGGACUUAUUGGGUUGAAAGGGUGCGUAGUCGGUCGGAUAAGUUAGAGGUGAAAUCCCGGGGCUCAACUUCGGGAUUGCCUCUGAUACUGUUCGGCUAGAGAGUAGUAGAGGUAAGCGGAAUGUAUGGGGUAGCGGUGAAAUGCUUAGAGAUCAGAAAGAACAC
RNAcentral lists this ribosomal RNA (374 nucleotides) under uncultured bacterium. RNAcentral's name for it is "partial 16S ribosomal RNA". It matches the Rfam family "Bacterial small subunit ribosomal RNA", at positions 338 to 709 of the family's 1533-position model. The record is from RNAcentral.